RNAcentral lists this long non-coding RNA (236 nucleotides) under Lathyrus oleraceus (garden pea). RNAcentral describes it as "Pisum sativum (pea) long non-coding RNA (PSAT_LNC040150)". The record is from RNAcentral. Lineage: Eukaryota; Viridiplantae; Streptophyta; Magnoliopsida; Fabales; Fabaceae.
UUAUUUGUAUUCGUCAUAUUCACAUUAAUUUAUGGUAUAUUAUAUGUAAAUCUUUUUAAAUAUUUUUCUUCUCCAUCACCAAAUUUUAGGUUUCUUCAUCACUAAGCAACAAAGUGAAAAAACUAUAAAUGAAUGAUUCAUAUUAUAUAUAAAUGCGUAACAAUUGAAAUUACAUAAUCAAGAUCAAUAUUAUUGGUAUUUGUCAUAUUCACACUAUAAUAUGGUAUAUUAUAUGU